AGUGAACGCUGGCGGUAGGCCUAACACAUGCGAGUCGAACGGCAGCACAGUAAGAGCUUGCUCUUACGGGUGGCGAGUGGCGGACGGGUGAGGAAUACAUCGGAAUCUACUUUUUCGUGGGGGAUAACGUAGGGAAACUUACGCUAAUACCGCAUACGACCUACGGGUGAAAGCAGGGGAUCUUCGGACCUUGCGCGAUUGAAUGAGCCGAUGUCGGAUUAGCUAGUUGGCGGGGUAAAGGCCCACCAGGGCGACGAUCCGUAGCUGGUCUGAGAGGAUGAUCAGCCACACUGGAACUGAGACACGGUCCAGACUCCUACGGGAGGCAGCAGUGGGGAAUAUUGGACAAUGGGCGCAAGCCUGAUCCAGCCAUACCGCGUGGGUGAAGAAGGCCUUCGGGUUGUAAAGCCCUUCUGUUGGGAAAGAAAAGCAGCAGGUUAAUACCCCGCUGUUCUGACGGUACCCAAAGAAUAAGCACCGGCUAACUUCGUG
This 492-nucleotide ribosomal RNA is filed under the name uncultured bacterium. Its description in RNAcentral is "partial 16S ribosomal RNA". It matches the Rfam family "Bacterial small subunit ribosomal RNA", at positions 29 to 507 of the family's 1533-position model. The record is from RNAcentral.